GAAAUUCGCCUUCAUGAAGCUGGAAUUGCUAGUAAUGGCAGGUCAGCAUACUGCCGUGAAUACGUUCCCGGGCCUUGUACACACCGCCCGUCACACCAUGAGAGUUGGAAAUACCCGAAGCCUGUGAGCUAACUGUAAAGAGGCAGCAGUCGAAGGUAGAGCCAAUGAUUGGGGUGAAGUCGUAACAAGGUAUC
RNAcentral lists this ribosomal RNA (194 nucleotides) under uncultured bacterium. RNAcentral's name for it is "partial 16S ribosomal RNA". It matches the Rfam family "Bacterial small subunit ribosomal RNA", at positions 1307 to 1500 of the family's 1533-position model. The record is from RNAcentral.